UGACUGGCUCUAACAAAGAGGAGGCUUACCUGCUUUCUGUGCCUACAGAAGACCAGACCAGAGAGGGAGUUGAGAUCCAUCUACAGUGAGCAACUCGAGGUACUCUGUGAAGAAAGCCUGGCAUGGGAAUAAGCCACAUCCAACUUCCUCAGCAAAUUAAAGAAGGAUGUAUGUCAAAAUGUCAUACUGUAGAGGGAUGGAUACAAACUCAGCCUAAUCCUUUUGAAGGCAGAAGAUUCGAUGCUAAAUUAUCCUAAUAUUAGUGAGUCUUCCAUGACAUUAAUCAAGCUCCCCAUUUGAGAAGCUGGAAAAAAUACUACAAAACUGGGUAUGAGGAAAACAAGAAUGAAUUACAUUUUGUGUUUACAAGUCCAA
Molecule: non-coding RNA, 375 nt
Organism: Equus caballus (horse)
Lineage: Eukaryota; Metazoa; Chordata; Mammalia; Perissodactyla; Equidae
Source: RefSeq, a predicted model, not a curated record